UCCACCUACGGGAGGCAGCAGUGAGGAAUAUUGGUCAAUGACCGAGAGGCUGAACCAGCCAAGUCGCGUGAGGGAUGACGGCCCUACGGGUUGUAAACCUCUUUUGUCGGGGAGCAAGACCCGCCACGAGUGGCGGAGCAAGAGUACCCGAAGAAAAAGCAUCGGCUAACUCCGUGCCAGCAGCCGCGGUAAUACGGAGGAUGCGAGCGUUAUCCGGAUUUAUUGGGUUUAAAGGGUGCGCAGGCGGACCAUCAAGUCAGCGGUAAAAUCGUGGGGCC
Molecule: ribosomal RNA, 278 nt
Filed under: uncultured bacterium
Lineage: Bacteria
Description: partial 16S ribosomal RNA
Rfam family: Bacterial small subunit ribosomal RNA
Source: RNAcentral